UACAGAGGUCCCAAGCGUUGUCCGGAAUCAUUGGGCGUAAAGCGCGUGUAGGCGGCUCGAUAAGUCCGGUGUGAAACCUUGGGGCUCAACCCCAAGCCUGCACUGGAUACUGCCGAGCUAGAGUCCGGGAGGGGAGAGCGGAAUUCCUAGUGUAGCGGUGAAAUGCGCAGAUAUUAGGAAGAACACCGGUGGCGAAGGCGGCUCUCUGGAACGGUACUGACGCUGAGACGCGAAAGCGUGGGGAGCGAACAGG
Molecule: ribosomal RNA, 253 nt
Filed under: uncultured bacterium
Lineage: Bacteria
Description: partial 16S ribosomal RNA
Rfam family: Bacterial small subunit ribosomal RNA
Source: RNAcentral